RNAcentral lists this unclassified non-coding RNA (451 nucleotides) under Hevea brasiliensis (rubber tree). Lineage: Eukaryota; Viridiplantae; Streptophyta; Magnoliopsida; Malpighiales; Euphorbiaceae. The record is from RNAcentral.
UCUGGUGGUCUCGCUCGCAGUCGUGAAUUUGGUGGUGGGAGGGAUCUUGGUAGAUAUCGAGAUACUUCACCUCAUUACAGUCGAAGAAUAAGUGGUGGCAGGCCAUUUGGAAGAGGUGUUGAUGGCCCUGGACUUGCUUCUGGGCCAUUUCGUGGGGAACGUAGUAAAAACAAUCCAAAUGUGCGUCCUAGGGAUGGGGAUUGGUAUUGCUCAGAUCCUCUAUGUGACAACCUAAACUUUGCAAGACGAGAAUUUUGUAACAACUGCAAUAGACCCCGCACUGGAGCUGGUGGAAGUCCUCGAAGAGGUUAUGUUGGUCCAUCCCUGCAUUCUCCUCCUAGGCGCUUUGCUGCGCACCCAGUUGAACGUUCUCCUGGCAGGACUCUUAGUGAAUAUAGGUCUCCUCCCCGUAGUUGGGCCAGGGAUGGUCCUAGGGAGAUUGCAGCUGGUG